Non-coding RNA from Podarcis muralis (Common wall lizard), 923 nucleotides. NCBI's taxonomy places the organism in Eukaryota, Metazoa, Chordata, Lepidosauria, Squamata, Lacertidae. The record is from RefSeq and is a predicted model, not a curated record.
GGAGCCCCGCCGCCAUCGCGCUCCUGCCCGGCUCCCGCCCUCUCCUCCGCCGGACGCCUGCGCAUGCGCCGAGCAAUCAAGAACUACGUCUCCCGGCGCGCCCUGCGCUCUCUUGGCGGCACGUGACUCUGGGCGGGCGGGGCCGUGCAGCGCUGUCUUCCGUCGGGAGGCGUGCGCAUGCGCCUCCGUGAGGUGAGGCCUUUAAAUACAUCUCUUCCGCCCUCCGUCUCCCGUCGUCCUCUUCGUGAGUGGGCGGGGCCAUGCCUGGCGCGGGCUGGCGGCAGCACGUGCGCGCGGAGCUGGAGCGGCGGGAGCGGCGCGCGCGGGGCCUGCGGCUGCUGCUGGAGCGACGUGAGAGGCCGGGGAAACUCCCCGCCACCGGACUGACUGCGGGGCGGGGGGGGGCUGGGCGGGGGUCCCCUCGGGGUGGCAGCUCCUCCCUUCGCCCUGCUGCCCGCAUCUCCCGCCCUCCAGCCGCGUUGGAGGCCCCGAGUUCGGCCUUCCUUCCUCUCUCCCUUUCUCCACGGCACUCAUAGCUCCAUCAGCUUCCACCAGGCCUGCCUCUUCCUCGCCUUUUCUCUUGGCAAAUCAGCCCGCCCCCUGGACCACUUCAGCCCCCCCCCGUGACCCCCACAUGAAGGGCAGCACAGAACGCUAAGACAUCAGAACAGUAACUUUGGCGGCCCUUUUCCGACUUGGCAAUAGCCAUUUUCAGAUGAAAAGCUGUAUGACCGCCUGGAUGCUCUGCAGACCCUGCUGGAGGAGGAAGGAGGGGCAGUGGCCGUGCCAGUGGGGUCCUGCCGGUUUCGAAUCCUUCCUGUAAGUUUAUCUAAUUCUGCCUAGUCCACCUCUUCUGGCUUUUUCCAGGCGCCCCCAGGAAGUGGCCUCCGUCCGGGUGCAGCAGGAGAUGGAGCUGAUUGAAC